This is a non-coding RNA of Dentipellis sp. KUC8613, 95 nucleotides long. NCBI's taxonomy places the organism in Eukaryota, Fungi, Basidiomycota, Agaricomycetes, Russulales, Hericiaceae. The record is from the annotation of a GenBank genome assembly.
GACACUAUAGCCAAGUGGUUACGGCGACAGAUUCGAAUUUAUAAGUACUUAUCUGUUUCCCUCUGGGAGCGCAGGUUCAAAUCCUGCUGGUGUCG